GAGGGUAUAGCUCAGUGGUAAAGUGCAUGCUUAGCAUGCGUGAGGUCCUGGGCUCAAUUUCCAGUACUGCCA
RNAcentral lists this transfer RNA (72 nucleotides) under Camelus bactrianus (Bactrian camel). It matches the Rfam family "tRNA". Rfam says of the family: Transfer RNA (tRNA) molecules are approximately 80 nucleotides in length. Their secondary structure includes four short double-helical elements and three loops (D, anti-codon, and T loops). The record is from Rfam by way of RNAcentral. RNAcentral also lists the same sequence under 2 other names. Lineage: Eukaryota; Metazoa; Chordata; Mammalia; Artiodactyla; Camelidae.